Molecule: ribosomal RNA, 422 nt
Filed under: uncultured bacterium
Lineage: Bacteria
Description: bacterial SSU rRNA
Rfam family: Bacterial small subunit ribosomal RNA
Source: RNAcentral
UAAGGAAUAUUGCGCAAUGGAGGAAACUCUGACGCAGCAACGCCGCGUGUAGGAAGAAGGCCCUUCGGGUCGUAAACUACUGUAGCAGGGGAAUAACGGUUUGCCACGGGCAGACAUGAAGGUACCCUGAAAGUAAGCGCCGGCUAACUACGUGCCAGCAGCCGCGGUAAUACGUAGGGCGCAAGCGUUGUCCGGAUUCACUGGGUGUAAAGGGUGCGUAGGCGGGAGAGUAAGUCCGCGGUGAAAUCUCACGGCUCAACCGUGAAACUGCCGUUGAUACUGCUUUUCUUGAGUUCGGGAGAGGUUGAUGGAAUUCCAGGUGUAGCGGUGAAAUGCGUAGAUAUCUGGAAGAACACCAGUGGCGAAGGCGGUCAACUGGCCCGAAACUGACGCUGAGGCACGAAAGCGUGGGGAGCGAACAG